Molecule: long non-coding RNA, 1072 nt
Filed under: Zalophus californianus (California sea lion)
Lineage: Eukaryota; Metazoa; Chordata; Mammalia; Carnivora; Otariidae
Description: lncRNA (ENSZCAG00015010114.1)
Rfam family: Iron response element I (bases 362-396)
Source: RNAcentral
CUCUGCUUUGGGCCAGCAUGCUGUCACUGACCCCCACCCUCAUCAGCCACAGCAAAUCACACAAUCAGCCCCUCUGCUCCUGGGGCAGAGGAGAGGAGAUUAUUUCCUACAAAAGUUACCGAAUCUGCCAUCAUGGGAUUGAACUUUCCACUCUCCUGAAUUUGGACAUGGCCGUGUAACGUGCCUGGGCCAAUGAAAUACGAGCAGACGUGUGGGUAUACUUUCCAGCACCUUCCUUCCAACUGCCUCAGAGACCAGCAGCAUCCUAAAUGACCAAGUCCCUGUGGAGGAUGACGUGGAUCAGCACACCUGCGGACCCAAGAGUGAUCCGUAGUGAAGUGCACCUGGUGGUCCUGCAGAUCUGUCUCUCUCUUCAACAGUGUUUGGAUGGAACAGACACAGGGAUGCCCUUUCUACCAGGCUCCGACCACAACCUUUCUUCCAGUCCCAACCUUCAGAGCCAUCUCCUUGGCCACCAUCUGCCUCCGGGACCAGCCAACACCCUAUUUUGAGCUUAGCUCCUUAUUACCAAUCCACCAUGAGCUCCCAGAUUCGCCAGAAUUAUUCCACUGAGGUGGAGGCCACCGUCAACCACCUGGUCAACAUGCAUCUGUGAGCAUCCUACACAUACCUCUCUCUGGGCUUCUAUUUCCACCAGGUGGGUGUGAUUCUGGAGGGUCUUGCCUACUUCUGUGAGUUGGCUGAGGAGAAGUGUGAGGGUGUUGAGUGUCUCUUAAAGAUGCAAAACCAGUGCAGUGGCCACACCUUCUUCACACACUUGCGCACAAACCAUCCUAGGAUGAGUGGGGUGAAACCCCGGACACCAUGGAAGCCGCACUGCCUCUGGAGAAGAGCCUGAACCAGACCCUUCUGGAGCUGCAUGCCCUGGGUUCUGCCCACUCAGACCCCAUCUCUGUGACUUCCUGGAGCCACUUCCUAGGUGAGGAGGUGAAAUUCAUCAAGAUGGUGGGUGACCAUCAGAGAAAGACAUGUAUCCUAUGACCUCACUGAUAUGAGGAAUUCUUAAUCUCAGGAAACAAACUGAGGGUUGCUGGAGUGCUGGGGGGUGGGA